UGUGGAUUGGCUGUCAUCUGAUGUUACUUCUGUUUGAUUGGUUGUUGAUUGGGCACCUGAUGGGCCUGCUUGGUUGCUGUCUGUAGUGGGCACAGUUGGAUUGUUCUGACCAAGACCCAGGGCAGUCCUCACAGUGUUCACCACUAGAGAAGGAAAGAGAGACAACUCUGCCCAUUGCAAAAGAAGUUCAAAGACUCAAGUAAAAAAUAUGCUAUUGAUAAAAUGAGAACCAUACCAAUUUCCGAACAAACCGCCCCCAUAGGUUGGAACGACUGUGUUGAGUGGAGUGAAUACUACAGGAUUAGAGGAUCUACA
Long non-coding RNA from Ostrea edulis (European flat oyster), 315 nucleotides. RefSeq lists it as uncharacterized. The transcript has 3 exons. The record is from RefSeq and is a predicted model, not a curated record. NCBI's taxonomy places the organism in Eukaryota, Metazoa, Mollusca, Bivalvia, Ostreida, Ostreidae.